RNAcentral lists this signal recognition particle RNA (261 nucleotides) under Eubacterium ventriosum. RNAcentral's name for it is "signal recognition particle sRNA large type". It matches the Rfam family "Bacterial large signal recognition particle RNA". From Rfam's summary of the family: The signal recognition particle (SRP) is a universally conserved ribonucleoprotein involved in the co-translational targeting of proteins to membranes. Archaeal SRP consists of a 7S RNA and homologues of the eukaryotic SRP19 and SRP54 proteins. In most bacteria, the SRP consists of a 4.5S RNA and the Ffh protein (a homologue of the eukaryotic SRP54 protein). The record is from RNAcentral. Lineage: Bacteria; Bacillati; Bacillota; Clostridia; Eubacteriales; Eubacteriaceae.
CCGCGCAGCCGGGAAGAUAGCGGCGUCCUGUACCUGCAAUCCGCUACAGCAGGGGUGAUGGUCGGCCUCGGGUUUAUUUUGUAGGGCUGCCCUUUAUAAGUGAUGUUGACGUUUGGGUCUUAUGCAAUGGAAUCCUGCGAACCGUGUCAGGUCAGGAAUGAAGCAGCACUAAGCAGAUCAUUUCAUGUGACAUGAGGAAGCCUAGACCGAGUUAACUGUAAAGGUAACGCUUAUGGAAUACUCACAAAGCAGAUCGCGCGG